This 209-nucleotide ribosomal RNA is filed under the name Erythrobacter sp. RNAcentral's name for it is "partial 16S ribosomal RNA". It matches the Rfam family "Bacterial small subunit ribosomal RNA", at positions 1 to 237 of the family's 1533-position model. Lineage: Bacteria; Pseudomonadati; Pseudomonadota; Alphaproteobacteria; Sphingomonadales; Erythrobacteraceae. The record is from RNAcentral.
CAAACUUGAGAGUUUGAUCCUGGCUCAGAACGAACGCUGGCGGCAUGCCUAACACAUGCAAGUCGAACGAGACCUUCGGGUCUAGUGGCGCACGGGUGCGUAACGCGUGGGAACCUGCCCUUAGGUUCGGAAUAACAGUUAGAAAUGACUGCUAAUACCGGAUAAUGUCUUCGGACCAAAGAUUUAUCGCCUUUGGAUGGGCCCGCGUU